GUACCCCAAACCGACACAGGUGGAUGGGAUGAGAAUUCUAAGGCGCUUGAGAGAACUCGGGUGAAGGAACUAGGCAAAAUAGCACCGUAACUUCGGGAGAAGGUGUGCCCCCGUUAGGUGAAGCGACUUGCUCGUGGAGCUGAAGGGGGUUGCAGUGAACUGGUGGCUGCGACUGUUUAUUAAAAACACAGCACUCUGCAAACACGAAAGUGGACGUAU
This 219-nucleotide ribosomal RNA is filed under the name Lotharella globosa. RNAcentral describes it as "partial Bacterial large subunit ribosomal RNA". It matches the Rfam family "Bacterial large subunit ribosomal RNA", at positions 1644 to 1846 of the family's 2925-position model. The record is from RNAcentral. Lineage: Eukaryota; Cercozoa; Chlorarachniophyceae.